Molecule: ribosomal RNA, 471 nt
Filed under: bacterium enrichment culture clone ALO1_GLFRUDD03F32B3
Lineage: Bacteria
Description: bacterial SSU rRNA
Rfam family: Bacterial small subunit ribosomal RNA
Source: RNAcentral
GAGUUUGAUCCUGGCUCAGAUUGAACGCUGGCGGCAUGCCUUACACAUGCAAGUCGAACGGCAGCACGGGAGCUUGCUCCUGGUGGCGAGUGGCGAACGGGUGAGUAAUGCAUCGGAACGUAUCCUGGAGUGGGGGAUAACGUAGCGAAAGUUACGCUAAUACCGCAUAUUCUGUGAGCAGGAAAGCGGGGGACCUUCGGGCCUCGCGCUCUUGGAGCGGCCGAUGUCGGAUUAGCUAGUUGGUGAGGUAAAGGCUCACCAAGGCGACGAUCCGUAGCAGGUCUGAGAGGAUGAUCUGCCACACUGGAACUGAGACACGGUCCAGACUCCUACGGGAGGCAGCAGUGGGGAAUUUUGGACAAUGGGGGCAACCCUGAUCCAGCCAUGCCGCGUGAGUGAAGAAGGCCUCGGUUGUAAGACUCUUUCGUCGAGGGAAGGAAAGUUAGACACCGGACCGAACUAACCUACGGU